UAUUAUCUGCGUAAUUUUGAUGAGGUCAGACGGUUUUCACAGAGUCAUGUUGUGUUGUUCUUUACUGGUAAGCAAUUUGACAGUGUGUGUCAUUGUUUUGUCACUGCUGCUGUUGUAUUCUUCUCAGUUAUAUGAACACUUUGUUCUUCUUGCUGAUCAGAAUGCUGGAAAGGAACAGUGUGUGUUUCCACUGCCUGAACCCCAGGACCUCCUUCAGACCUCACAGAUGAAGUUUGAAGAUUUUCAAAAAGACCUCAGAAAACUAAAGAGAGACCUGAGAGUGUGGUGCAAUCUCUCCUAUGGAGAGAAACAGAUCCUUCCAGCUGCAGCAUGCACAGCUGACCUCUGACUCCCCAGCUUCCCCUUCCACCUGCUUUCCCAGAAAGGCUGAGCUGUCCCACUGCCGCCUGCUGCUUCCACUUGUGCUGCUGCCACCAUCACUGCCACGCCCCUUCUCUCCAGUACAUGCUGAGGUCCCGUCUACCUCUUUGAGGAUCUGUAGAUUCCAGAAUCCUGGCAGACUCUCUCGACACUGCCGCAGAAGAUCACGGACCACUUGUUGAGACAUCGGGGGCCAUCCAAGGCAAAGCCUCACAGUUGCAUGUGUAGCCCGACCUGUGGGGCACCAGGUCUCAGCUGCUUCCUGCUCCUGAUCAUCCAGAAGCCACACCUACCUUGUCCACCUCUCACCUGGCAGUCCUGGCAGAGGCAAGCCUGGUCACCAAGGAGGUGACGGCAAAAAGCCUCCAUUGAAGGGAGGCUUUGAUCAAUGGAGUGAGGGCCUCUCCCCUUCUUCAGGGAAGCCUGGCACACUGCUGUCUGUCUCCCUGGUCUGCUUCCCACUGGAGUGUCGCCUCUGGUGUCAGCUGUGUUCCUGGCUGUCACUGGCACGCUGGAGGUGCUCCAUGAAGAUCUGAUGGGUGAGGGCACAAAUGGUCUCUUUCUCCUGCCCAGGCUCCCAGGUGCUACCUGAACACCUGCAACUUUAACUCCUGUGUCUGCAUGUUGCUGACCCCACUAGGUUCCCCAUGCGGGGCUUCUCCUCCUCCCACUGACACUCAUCUCCCACAGGGAGGGCUCAGCCAGCCCCUGAGCCCACUGAGCCCUUGCUGUGGAAGUUCCACCAGAUCAGUGAGAAGGACGCUCUCCACUCCCCCUAUUAUAGCUCCCAGGAUGGGGAGGCAGGCUGCGAUGGGAAAGGAUGGGUAUGGCCCUCCAGCCCACCUCUGCUUUCCCAAUGCAACCACAGCCCCAGUUACAGCUUUGACUCCCUUCCUCAGACCUUGCCCUCUUACAAGAUCCAUGAUGUGUGGGAUCCAAGAUUCUGCCAGCACAUCUGAUCCACAGUCCUCACACUCCUCUCCCAGUUCUGUGGAGAAGGGAGCCUCUCCUGUUGGAUCCAAAGCUCACUCACAUGCCAGCUGGUCCAGGGCUCUGCUGCCGUCAGCAGAAUGCAUCAGGAUGCACCCACGUCUGCAGGCGGCCAGCUGUGGGCACACGGACUGCACCGUGGGCACUGCCUGCUGGUAAUGUGUCCCGGGACUGUCUGACUCCCGACUAGGCUGAAGCCCUGAGGGCAGGGUUGUCUGCUCUGUGCACGGGAUUAUGGUUUGUGUCUGGAAAAGGGCUUGUGCCUGGUAGCUUCCUAUACAUUUGAUGAAUGAAUGAGGCCCAGCCGGUCCCAUCAGAGCUGUCUGAGUUGGCCUGAGGCCUCUCGAUAUGUUCUCAGGGAUCCCUGACUGGCUUCAUUCAGGACAGGAACACCCCAGAAGAAAUCUCAACUCUCCUCCUCAAUAGGGACAAACAUCUCAUUCCAACAGCCAUGGAGACAGUGAUGGAUGAGGCCAAGCCCUGGGGAAGGAGAAAACACACUAGCACAAGAGCUCCUCCAGCAGACCUACCGCAGGGCCAGGAACCCAGACAGCGCUUUCACGGAGGACGUCACAGUCCUCACAGUAACCCUAUGGGGUUAACCCUCUAUUCACCCCACUGUGCAGGGGCGCAGCCUGAGGCUCAGAGAAGUGUAGUGACCUUCUGAAGGCUGACCGCUGGCAGGUGGCCGAGUCCCCACCCUGCUGUGGAGAGGCAGGGCCCUCACCUUUGGAACAGCAGGCGCAGGACCAGUUGGGUGAUGGCAGAUGCUCAGUAAGUGCAGGGAAUGUGGGGACACAGGGGGGUCAUUUCCCAGGAAAUUGGGUACCAGGUGCUCCACUAGUUUUCCAGCCUGCCUGGCUGGAAGGUGCACACCAUGCAGGCUUCAUUCCUGUUCACUGUUGAUCCACUUUUGCCCUGGGAUGGUGCAGAGGAGGGACAUGCAGUCAGGAAGAGCACCAUGGGCCACUAGGAAGGAGGGUUAGGGGCUGGAGCUCAGGCUCAAACCCCGAACCUCAUGUCUUUGACAAGAAGUGGGUGAAUGAAAAAAAAUUCCUAGCAUUAAAUGUAGAAUUUGAGGUGGAGAAUGACUGAAAAUGUUAGUCCUGAGGUCAUUUUGUUAGCUGAGUAAUGACAGCACCUCCCUGUAUCAAGCACAUCAUUUCAGUGAGUCCUGAUGAAACAUCGCAUAGUGGAGAUAAGAACCCAGAGGCUUGUCCUGGGGAGGCAUCUGGUAUCAGGACAUGCAGGACGCUCAGGGCAGCGCUGCUGAAAUGGCAACAGAAGGAAUCACAUGAGAGCCCCACAUCAGGAAAGGGCUGGAUAUAGUGGUAACCGGUCUUCCUUGUGAAAUCUUGUGCAGCUCACUGAGGUCCCAGAUAUCUUUGGGUCUUUUGACCCCUGAAAGUUCUUGGAGUAUUGUUUAAGUAGAAAUAAACUUUGAUGUCUAAAUAACAAACAAACAAAUACAAAAUAUAAAAACAAACAAAGAACAGGAUAUGUUCCUCAGGUCAGCAAAAUGCAGAGAAAUAAACAUAGUUCCAUGAGCUCCAUGUCCUUUUGGGUAAAAGCAAUCCCACCAGUCACAGUGAUGGGUAAGACUUUGAGAAGAAGUGGAUGGAUUUUCAGGACAAUAUGGACCGGUGGGUAAGUGUUAAAAGAAGAAAAUCCAUACAAAAAGGCAAAAAUACUCUUGACUAAA
Molecule: long non-coding RNA, 3073 nt
Organism: Camelus dromedarius (Arabian camel)
Lineage: Eukaryota; Metazoa; Chordata; Mammalia; Artiodactyla; Camelidae
Exons: 4
Source: RefSeq, a predicted model, not a curated record